AGCGCAGCAGUGCCAGCUUCGCCACCUGGUGAACAUCACUGGAACAGGGUCUCCAGGGAUUACCACAAAUGGAGUACUGGGACAAGAGCAUUAGGUGAGGCAUCUGAUGUCAAUGUAUUAAUUAAAGUGGGAAUGUAAGCCAUGGGAAAGUUCUUCAUCUAUCCUUCAGAUUUGUCACAAGCCCUGUAUUCUCUGAAAUUUCACCUGGAACUUUCUGUUUGCAUUUUUUAUAGUCUCAUCUCCCUUGCUACUGGCUGUGUAAGAGAUAAUCCAUGUUUCUGAGCUCUUCAUGCUGGUUCCCCAAUAGCAGCCCAAAUGCCAAAGUAGGACAAUACCUUCCUUGAAGUAUCCAAAAUUGAACACAGCUGGGGCAGACAUCUUCAAGAAGAGCUGAAAAAUUGGUAAAUAUUUUUUAGGUGAUAACAUAGGCUGUAAGUUGCAACAAGGGUUUGCCUUUUUUACAGCAGCAUAACGUUUCUCACUUCUAUUCAUCUUAUGAUCUAUGUUAACAUCCAAGUCUGACAUGCAAUUAUUUAGCUUGUUCUUCCUCACCUUAUUUUUCUUCAGUUCAUUAUUCUUGCCUAAGUGUAUGACCUGUUUGUUUUUACUGAGUUGCAUCCUCUCAACACCUCUUGAUGUUGUUCUACAAUAUAUACCUGUUAUGUUUGAUUGGCAAAAAUACCUACCCAUAGUAACUGUGAAUAAAUCAACAUGUUUGUUUAUUCAAAAAGAAGUUGGUGUCUUAUCUAGAGAAAUCUAGCAAAUAAAAUGUUCACAUUUUUUCUAUUGAAUCAGAUUAUCCUUUUUUAUCUAGAUUAUUUUUCAAAGAGGAGAAUACCCUAAUGCCUCAUUUUAAAAAAUACAGAAUUUAGAAGUCAUUAUUUGAAAAUAAAGACCAAAGAAAGGUAGAUUUUGGCAUUCUAGUCUCACAGAAGGAGAAUGUAUAGCAUUCUCAGUUAUGAUAUCCAUAUUUGUACCUAGUACCAUGCCAGGCUAUGAAUAGUUAUCACAAGAAUCCUGUUCAUGUGCUGUGUGAA
Molecule: long non-coding RNA, 1037 nt
Organism: Empidonax traillii (willow flycatcher)
Lineage: Eukaryota; Metazoa; Chordata; Aves; Passeriformes; Tyrannidae
Exons: 3
Source: RefSeq, a predicted model, not a curated record